Long non-coding RNA from Girardinichthys multiradiatus, 7086 nucleotides. RefSeq lists it as uncharacterized. The record is from RefSeq and is a predicted model, not a curated record. Lineage: Eukaryota; Metazoa; Chordata; Actinopteri; Cyprinodontiformes; Goodeidae. The transcript is spliced from 3 exons.
UUUAGCCAUGAAACCUCCCACAUGAAAAUGACAGGUGUUUCAGUUUCAUUGUCCAACCCCUGUAGAUUGAGAUUGUCACCUCUGUGUCACCUAGAAUUGUGAUAUUGGAACCAUUUGUAUCUGUCUGAAGCUUGCUUUCAAAAUCAGGCGUUACAACGCCAGCCAAGACUGAGAUUUUCUGCCGUCCUCAUCAAAAACUGGUAUAUUUAGGGGAGGAAGUGUGCCCACAGUGGAAACAUAACAGAAGAGCUGGUGUGAGCCCACAUAGCCAGGGGAAUGCUGCGGUCCCCUUCUCUGUCAAAGUAAAAACGGUGAGGUGCUAAACACCUUCCAUACCAGCAUUGGCAGGGGGGCUCACAAUGCCAUUAGAAAAAGUGUGGAGAAACACUGUGAGUGUCAAUACCUCAGGCUGGUUUUACUGCAAGACUCUGCAUGUCCAAGGUUGCUGCCUCAGUACCAGUAGAACAGAGCAGAAGACAGGAAGGUGCUGUGAAAAAUAUAAACACAGCGGAUUAUAUGGGGCAAGAGGUGUAGGUGGGGUGUGGAGGGUGGGUUUGUGCUCAAAGGAGGAAAAAUAAUAUUGUCACUGUUACCUGGCCUUUAUGAUCUUGUAGAGCAUUUAUGUACGGUGACAUUUAUGACUGAACCUGCAUAAAGCGGGAGAUACAUACAUUUGAAGAGAUAUACUGAGUUAGAAACACACAGUUGAAUGUUAUUGGAAAGAAAAGUCGACCAGGAUUUGAUGGGUUAAAUGACCGUGUCCCCCCUGUGUUGAGGGGGAAUGUGCUCCUGUGCUGUGAGCGAUUGCUUCCUCUCUCAGGGGUUCCAGCAUGGGGCCAGACUGGUGGCUGUUAGCUGGAGAUGGAUGACUCCUCAUCAUACCUCUGCCGACAAGUAGAGCGCAUAAGCAGAAAACAACGCUGAAAUCCUGAAAAAGCAACCAAAGCAACUACUGUAUGAACACAACUGACAGUAUGCUUACCUGGUUGAUUUUAAUGGAGGGGACAAAAGAAUAAAACAUAACUACAACAGUGUGAUGUAACAUUUGGGCUAAGACACAUUAUGUAGCAUGUCAUCACAGGAAGUCAUGAUUUCACUUAAUUACAGGAUCUCAGAUUGAAGCACAAAAUAAAUACACCACUUUAGUGUCAGUUGUUUUUCAAAUAAACUAAAUAGUCAGCACAUCCCUGAAUAGCAGCAAACAUUUUUGCUAAAGACAUGUUGUGCCUCUUAUUUGCUUCAGGAAUUGUUACUUUUAUUUGGGAAUGAUGUCACACCCAACUUCACUGUGUUCAAGUUUUAGGAUGAAAAACCAAUGGGAUUUGAUAAUUGUUAAGUUUAGUGACCAGUUCCACUGCACUUAGCAGUACAUGCCAACAGUAAUUUAUUUAGUUAAUUAAAAAAAACAGUUACAGAACUAUUCAUUUAUAGUCAUAUGACAUAAUUUUCUAAAAGGGACAGCUCCCUGAUUCUGAAAAGAAAUAAUACUGUCAAAAUAUGUUCAUAAUGUAAACAGACCUAAACUUUAUACAACUUCAUAAAGAAACUUUAGUAACUGUUGUAUGAAGUAUGUCCACACAGGCUUCCCAAAACAAAAAUACUGUUUGAGGCAACUGUGGGUUAUUAAGAACAUUAGUGAGAAAAUAUGUCAACAGAUAACACGAUGUCUUAAAGUUGCUCCAUUUUAUUUGUUUGAGCUUUUAAACAUUGUCUGUCAUGUAACAUGUUGGGUUAGAAAAUGUUACCAGUCUUUUGGAAGAAUUAGGUAAGGAUCUACAUUCUCCAAGAAAAAUCCAUGUGGUUUUAGUAAUGCUACUUGGGGUAAAUGCAGUAAUGGUUAAUGUAAAAUGCCUGUAAUAUUUCUUUUUUGUUUUAAAAAGGGAAAUAACUCUUUUUAAACAACUUUUCUCUUUCACACAUGAUGCCAUCUCUGCUCAUUUAUAUACGCAAUGACUGCUCAGGGCAGGAAGGCUAGAAAAACAUAUUUUGAAUUUUUCUCAUAUUAAAGAUGAGUAUGGGUAUGGGUAAAUAAGUCAAUUCAAGUAAGUCAUACAAUUCUGAUCCAUGCAUAUCUAGUUCAUUACCAUUGCUCUUUGUGACUAUUAUAGAGACAAAAACCAGUAUAAGUAGUAAUAACUUAAUUUUAUAGAUAGCAUAACAUGCUAUACUCAUUAUAUAUCUGAUUAUGAUGUCAAAGCUGGUGGGGAUCCUUUUGACUUUUCAAUUCAGAAUUCAAACUUACCAGAGGUUUCCAGAUGUUUUUUUUAACUUAAAAUGAAACAAAUGGACCAAAUGUGUGGCAUCAUUGUUAUGUAAAGAUGUGUGAUAAUGGGCAUGCAGCUCAGAGCUUAUCUAAGAUUUCUGAUGUGACAUUUCAAAAAUGUUGCAUAGGCUUGAUUCAUAUCUAAUUUAUUUAAAUUAAGUUUAGUUUAGGUGUUUUUUUUUUUUUAUAUUGCAACAAUUCACAACAAAUGUUCUCUCAAUGUAUUUUACAGUGGGUCAAAUGUAUAGCCAGUUCUGCCACAGAAUCCCCAUAUAUGAUAGAAUUGUAAAUUACAUAAAUAUAUUUGUAUUACUUUGUUGAACACAAUUAUUCUUGAAGGCUAAAAAAUUAGGUGAUAAAAAAAUUGGAAGGAAGACUGUCAGUGUGGUUGAUAUAGAAUAAUUUUAAUACACAACCUAAAGUAACUUUUCUCUGUCAAUUUUCUAACCAACACAACAGACUUUUAUGAAUGUUCCUUUCUGUUUUCAAUUAAUCAAUAAAGUUUAGUGUUUAUCUUUCAAAUUAAUUCUCCUUUUCUCCACCUGGUUCGUCUUGCCAUUCAGGUACAGCACAAAAAUAACUGCACUACCUGAAAUUAUAAGUCCGUGCAUGCUUUGAUUACUGAAAACUAUUUUUUAAGGAGUAUAAAUGUAAACAACCACUCAGUGGGUAAGAAGAUUGUGAAUUCCAGUUGACUUGAAAGUGGAGACAUGAAAUUGGUAAUGACAUCACAUGCAACUUUACCUCUUUCCAGCCACAAAUAGAAAACUGUUGGCACCUCUAAUUGGUGUGCUCAGUGACCAAGGUACCUCUUUUUCACAAUUCAAACAAUAACAAUAUAUUUUAAAGCCUUUGCAUAAAAAAAAAAAAAAAAAAAAAAAAAACGUCAGCAAAACGUUUACAAAUAGAAGUUAUGUUGUACUAAUAAUGCAACAAUGUCAUAUGUUGAAUAAGGUAUAAACUAACACAGAUUAAAAUAAAUGUAUGAUUACUCAGGCUAUCAAUGUAUUUUAUCCACAAAACAGUCAUGUUGUAUUGUGGAGUUGGGACUGGUGGCAAACCUCAGACUUUUUAACUUUUUUGUUCUGCAGCAGCAGCACUGUGAACAUUUUACACAUUUUAUUGCAAUACACAUGCUCUGUACAAAACACAAGUGCAUCAUAAUAAACACAUAUACUUCAUAUAUAUGACAUGACUUGAUGUUUCACAAUGCUCUUCAUUCCUUCAUUUUACACCCAUGUUGGACAUGUUUUUUUUUUUUUUUUUUCUAUUCACAAACACUUGCCUUGAAAGAAAAUGUAUGACACCAGCUUUAGAAUGUGAAACCUGCAGAAAUGAAGUCAAGAUUUCAAAUCAUGGGAAAGCUGUGAAAGGACCCAAAGACCCAAAGCUAACAAUAAAAUACCUACAGUAAUCACUGAAACUCUAAGAAGGUAUGUGUGCCCUCUUUUAGAAUAACACUGAAAAAGACAGAGGUUAAAUCUAGGCUAUAGUUUUCAAUUCAUCCAUCCGUCUGUCCGUCCAUUUAUCCGUCUGUCCAUCCAAUCAAUUUCUAAGGACAAAGGUAGUUUUUCCAAAUCAAGUCUUAAGAAAGUGAGAAUUUCUUUGCACGGACAUGGUCAUGACGUCUUCAUUAAAAGUUAAUUCUAAGAGUUCCCCUGACCCCAUAGUGAUGCAUAGCACAUAGCUCAACAUAGUUCAAAAGGAUUUAAUUUUAAAAGAAGGAAAGACAUUCUCCUCCCUCCAUGUGUUUUAAGCUUAGUUUACUUCAUCUUUCUUCUACAUGGUCCACAAAUCGGAGGUCACCCUCAAACCCCAGCAAAAAGAGUGGAUGGAUCCUGUGGUGUUGACUUUAACAUAAUGUCCUCCCUCCCCUCCAUGGUGUUCAGAGAGUCCUGAACAAUGUAUCUGAAGUGAAGUUCGCUCAGCAGGUGGAUGUUCAAAUGGGUCUCAAACCAGAGGCACAUUGGGAAAGAUCAAAUGGCUGCUGCCUUAAGGCCUGGCCAAAGUUUGACCUAAACCAAAAAAAACAAAAAAUCCUGUUCCAGACCAUUGGCGCUCACUACCCUCUCACUAAAACAACACAAAAGAAAGUGUGUGUCAAUAAACGUAUAGGUUAUUUUUUAAAUGGUGUGUAUGUGGGUCCAGAAAUGGUAAAAAAAGGACAUGUAAAGGUGUAGGCACACCUGAAAACUCUGACCUGAACUUAGGGAAAUGCACAGUUGACCUCUUUGUGGUUUGCCUUUUUAGAACUUGUUAUAUGGCACUGAAUGUGUCAAUGCAUGGACAUAUACCCAAUGUAUAAGAGGCAUUCUUAAAGUGUGGUUAAAAUUUCUUACAUGUUUGUGCCCACAUCAAAGAGCAAUGUUGAAGCUGUUUUUUUCUGUUUCACAGAAUAACUUGUUUUACAUUAAUCAAUAUGCACCCAUAUUCUCAGUUUUAGCUUUUAUUUAGUUUUAAAAUCACGUAACAUAUAAUUAUUUACAUAUAGAUCAAAUUUGUAGAAAACAUCUAAAAUAUAGAGAAUAGGCUAGUCAUGUGGUGCAGCUGAGACUUCUGAACAUCUUAAGAGCCACUGAUGACCACCAGCUGCUAGGCCCCGCCCUUUGCUCAGUGAGCGAUGGGCCAAACUUGACCUUCUCUCUGAGAGGCAUGGGCUUUGGAGCUGGGGGGAUUGAAUACAUCCUCUCAGAGUGAUAGCUGCUCCAGAGGCUGGAGGCACAGGAAACUCAACCUGCCAAUCACUCUCUGUUGUAUCAGAGAGACCCAGCAGUGACAUGCCAGACAUGCCACUGCAUCCAAGAGAAGCCAUCCAGAUGCUCAUGGGUCCAAGUAACCUGACAUGCAUCCUUUUGGACAGUGGAAGGAAGCCAGACCCACAGAGCUCUCAGUCAGCUAAAUGCUUGGUGCCCUGUAAGCGACCCCAGAGGAAAAAAGGGAAGGAGGAGCCACUUGGAACGUAUAUAGGAAGAGGUCUCCCAAACCCAACUUAGCCAACCCUGGGGUUGUCUCACUGCUUUGUUCUGCCUGUAACUUUGUCUUUGGCAGAAUUAAAGCUUCAGCUUUGUAUUUUUAUGUCUCCAGAAGAAUUUUUACUCUGUUUUUAGUUUUUUCCAGUAGACAUAAUAAGGUAUUUUUGAGUACCUUUUUGAGAUAUAUAUAACACUUGUGUAUUAAAGUUCAGGAGGCCAACAAGAUUAGAUAUGCUUUACACAAACUCCAUGGAAAAAGGGCCCAGGUGACCUUCUUGUUUGCUAACAACUGCACCACUGUGUAGUCCAAGUAAGAAGAAGACUGGGCAAAGGUUGCAUCCAUGGGGGAAUUUUAAGGCCAACACUGUUGACUAAAAGAGCAGAAAGACCUUAUAGUUCCCAAAAAAACAUGUUGAUGAUUCUCAAAGAAGAUAUUUUGUGGAUUGAUGAGACAAAACUGGACAUUUGGGAAAAUCUGGAAUUUAUGAACUUGUCAUGAAUUUAUCAGCAAGGCAUAAAACACACAGGAAACUAACAUCAGUUAGCACCUCAGCAAACACUUCCCUGUGCAAAAUCCUUAUUAGUGUUUGAUGCAUGUUUUCUUAAAACUUGGCUCAUGACUUGUUUCUAACUUUUGAUCUAAUCUUAAAGUGAGAUUUGGACCUGUAAACAUAACGUUUGAGAACUCCUGAUAAUAUAUUGUAAAUUAAAUGUUAUCUUUUGUUGAAAUUAUAGAUUUUAUUUGUGCAAAUUAGAAGCCUAUAUGAACACAUCUUGAGGUUUACUUGGCUGACUUUAAUUACAUAAUUUAAUUACAAAAUUUAAAAAAACUCCACUCAUAUCAUAACAGAAAGGGAAAGAUAAACACAGAAAUAAUCUUACUCAGAAGAUUAAAAAUGCAAUUAAACAUACUGGAAUCAAUCAAAUUCCAUUAAAAAAAUAAAAUAAAAUAACAACAUACUUUGAAAGAAAAACACAAAAUUAGUUUAGUAACUUUGUCCAACUCAUGAAAGUAUUUAGCAUUUUUUGGGGGAGAAAGUUAAGAACCUUGAUUUUUGUGUUUACACAAAUAAAGGUCUCACAAAUCAAACACUAUGUUUAAUAUAAUCUAAUUAGAGUGGAACUUUCAGUUCCAGUUUGACUAGUCCAUAUAUGGCAGUUUUUAUGUCCCAAAACAGUUGUCAACCUUAACGUUGUUUGCGUCUAAUGUUUAGACAGUCACAUUAUUCCAAUAGAGGUGUAAAUCAUUUGUAAUUUGAAUGUCACUCUUUCACCAUUAACUUUCUUAGACUGGGUACCCAGGUUAUUACCACACAAAUGGUUUUGAAGCAGUGAAGGCUUUUUCAGUGCUUUUGUAACUGAGUGUGGUCAGCUUGCUCAAACAGCACUCGUUAUUAGUUGAAACUGUCAACAAAACAUCACAACUCAAGAACUACUUUCUUUCUUACUUCAAAAUACAAAAACCACAGAUACAGUUGUGUUUUGUGAGGUCUGAGUCAGACAAAAAUGCAGACAAGAGGACAGAAAAAAAGUGAAGAAUAUUAAUAUAAACAAAGAACAAAAACUGGGCAGGAUGUAACAGAAAUAACCAGCAGUGAGCUAUGGAAACCAAAGAGUUUAAAUACAGAGAUGUGAUCAAAGACAUGGAAACCAGGUGAAUCUAAUCAGGGGAAUAUAGACCAGCUAUGAGAAAGGACCGAGCAGAUGAACACACAUGGAGUUUAACUUAGACACAAAAAGAUCUACAAAUCAAUUUGGAAAAAUCCUGAAACUAGCCAAAUUGCACAGAAGAAAGCACACAAGAAAUAACUAAACUCAUAGGAAUUAACUAAUAUGGAAUUACACUAAUGA